This is a long non-coding RNA of Mytilus californianus (California mussel), 231 nucleotides long. RefSeq lists it as uncharacterized. The record is from RefSeq and is a predicted model, not a curated record. The transcript is spliced from 3 exons. NCBI's taxonomy places the organism in Eukaryota, Metazoa, Mollusca, Bivalvia, Mytilida, Mytilidae.
AUAAUUUCAAAACUAAAAAUACUUACAUCCACGAAUUUUUAAUGUAGUCAUUUCUCCCUCAUCUUUACCCUGUGAAAAUGUUUGAAGGAUAGCGUUCCACCGGGAUUCUUUAAUUUUACAGAUGCAGGAGAGAAGCAAGCCCCAGGAUAUUGUUAUGAUAGACUUGACAAAAGAGGAAGAGAAAGAUCCUUACUGUAUGAUAGACUUGACAAUAGAGGAAGAGAAAGAUCC